Molecule: long non-coding RNA, 552 nt
Organism: Micropterus dolomieu (smallmouth bass)
Lineage: Eukaryota; Metazoa; Chordata; Actinopteri; Centrarchiformes; Centrarchidae
Exons: 3
Source: RefSeq, a predicted model, not a curated record
UGAAGAAGUGGAUCAAUAUGAAGAUAUUACAGUUCUUGCAGAAGAGAUAAUCGAAGAAAUGCUUUCUGAAUUGGCUCUACAAACUGUUGCAGGACCACAGCAUGAGGAAGAUUGACAGAACGUACAGGAGAGAGCUAGAGGAGGGCAAUAGGAUUUACCAAAUUUCCUGCAUGGCUCGACCAACGACCCAAGCUCAGUGAGAGCAGCAAAAAAGACAGAAGUUGAUCCAUCUAGACAACCAGAGGGAAAGAGUGAAGAAACUUCUGGACUUUCACUAGGAAGUACAGCGAUACCUGAAAGAGGAGCUGAAAGUCAAGGAAGAAGAGCGUUAUGACAAAUGGGCAGCUGUACAUGGCCUGAGCAUUCCUGACUCUACACCAGAGCUGCCCAAAAAAAGGAUGAGUAAGGUGGAGAAGAGAUUUUAAGAGUUCUUCUUCUUCUAAACCAACUUCUUCAACAACACCAUCACUACCUGCAUGGCCCUGUGGACACAGAGUGAUGACAAGACCGGUUUUACACUCAACAUCUCAGAUGCACAUUAGGAUAGUUGGC